RNAcentral lists this long non-coding RNA (5007 nucleotides) under Sus scrofa (pig). Its description in RNAcentral is "lncRNA (ENSSSCG00000060844.1)". Lineage: Eukaryota; Metazoa; Chordata; Mammalia; Artiodactyla; Suidae. The record is from RNAcentral.
UUUUUUUUUUUUUUUGGCCAUGCCCACGGCGGCAUGCAGAAUUUCCCAGACCAGGGAUCACGCCUGCACCACAGCAGUGACAAUGCCAGAUCCUUAACCUGCUGAGCCACAAGGGAACUCCAAGUAUAUGAAGCCUUCGAAGAUAAUUCCCAGUCCAACUCGCUGCCCCUGAGAUCCCUGCAACAAAGUCAAUAUGUGCAAAUAAAAUUUCCCAUCUUAGAGUUCCCACUGUGGGUGCAACAGGAUGGGUGGCUUUUCUGAAGCACCAGGACACAGAUUCAAUCCCUGGCCGGCACAGUGAGUUGAAGGAUCUGGCAUUGCUGCAGCUGUGGUGUAGGUUGCAUCUGCAGCUUGGAUCUGUUCCCUGGCCUGGGAACUUCACAUGCCUCAGAAAAAAAAUUUUUUUUUCUUUCUUUUUGGAUGUAUCAUUGGACACUCAACUAGCCUGAGCUAUUGGUGUCAAUACAUAGAUCUUGGCAAGGAUGGUAAUCUGCUACCAGCAGCUGUCAAUCAUCUUAUACACCUGCUUGAGUGGAUCUGAGUGACUUUGGGAGGAUGUGGAUUAUUGGAGAUUCUAGCCUUCACGCUGUCCUCGCCCCACCCCCCACCCCUGCAAAGGGAUUUUCUCAGAGUCACAUGGCUAGUAAGUGGCAAAGCCAGAGGCUGAAUCUCUUCUCCUCACUUGUACACCAGUGAUCACGGAUUAAGGCAACAAGCACACUCAGCACCAUCUCCUACUGCCACCCCAAGUUCCUUUACAAUUACCUCACUCCACUGAGUUCCUUCUUGGUGGGACAGUACAGGCAGGCGUUACAGUACAUCCAUCCUUCUCCACGGAUAUCAGAGGCCAUCUGGAGAGUCCUGCAUAGCCUAUCCAGCAGGUGAGCUCACAGCUAAGCCUGGUUAACCAGCACUCAAGGGCCAUGAACUCUCAAAGGAAGGAAUAAGCAGAUGAAAUACACCCUUCCCAAUAUUGCUGGAAUUUGGCUCUGCUCACAGGUGCCGAACGGAAAUGCAGAGACAGAGUUUUGGGUGAAGGAGAAAAAAUAACUUUAUUGCUUUGCCAGACAAAGGAGGGUCACAGCAGGCUAAUGCCUCAAAGACUGUGCCUCCCUUAGGAGAGAUUGAGAGGUGGUUUUAUAGUUUUUGGAAUGAAAAAUAGGACCACAGAUAAGGAUCCGGUAGAGACAAGCUUGCAUUGUUUUCAAAGCUGGUGUUCAGUGGUCUGGUGGUCUUCUUUCCAGAAUGAAGAAUGUUCAUUAACCUUAUCUAUUUGUUGGGGGUUUAGUUCUCAAAGAUAUUGUUAUAUGUAUCCCUUGAGGGGGAACCAGAACCCUGCCUGCCCAAAGACUGCACUAUUGUCUCUCUCUCUUCCUUUUUUUUUUUUUUUUGUCUUUUUAGGGCCGCACCUGUGGCAUAUGGAGGUUCCCAGGCUAGGGGUCAAAUUGGCCGGUCUACACCACAGCCACAGCAACACGAGAUCCGAGCCGCAUCUGCAACCUACACCACAGCUCACGGCAACACCAGAUCCUUAACACACUGAGCAAGGCCAGGGAUCGAACCCACAACCUCUUGGUUUCUAGUCGGAUUUGUUUGUGGAACUCCUACACUAUGGUCUCUUGACUGCCCCUCCCUGGUCUCUUCAUCCCCUCCCUUCCCUGAUCAGCAACUGUUUGAACCUGCCCUUUGGAACUCAGGGAAGGUCAUAGAGGCUGAAGUUUAUUCCCUAAAAACAAGACAUGGGAGAACAGAAAGGCUUGUGUGCCCAGGAGCCCACAGGGCCCGGCUCAGUUUCACUAUGAGGAGCUACUCAUCAAAUUGUUCCUACUUGGGACUAUUUUUGUCGCUCCUGCUUCCCAUUUCCCCAGGGAUUCUGUGGCCUUCUGGGAAGUUAUGUUUUGCUUGUAUUCAUGAGAGUCCGUUUCUUGCCUGCCAUCAAACAUCUUAUCUCAAAAAAAUUGUCCUUUCUAUUAUGCUUCCUGAUAAUAAAAGGGUCUACCUGGUUUCCCAGGAUGGUAUCUAACCACAGUAUUUUGGGGAUGUUUGAUGCCCUAUGUUUGGAUAAAGUCCUGUAUUGUGGUACAAGUUAAGCUUGUAGGAAAAAGAAAAUAGAGGUAUUUAUUACAUCCUUUCUCACCCCCACCCCCUGCACUAUUUUGAUGCUGGAUUAUUCUUUAUUAGGGAAGGAGGAGGUCCUGUGUAUCAUGUAUAUUUUACAGCAUCCCUGGCCUUUACCACUCGGUACCCAGCUAUGGGCCUUCGUUCAUUUCCUCCCUAUAAACUUCAGUUGUCUUCCGUGGAAAAUGGGAAUAAAACUGCACAUAUAGGAGUUCCCGUUGUGGCUCAGUGGGCUAAGAACCCGACAUAGUGUCCGUGAGGAUGUAGGUUUGAUCCCUGGCCUCACUCAGUGAGUUAAGAAUCAGGUGGUGUCUGUUGUAUAUUUGGCAUUGCUGUGGCUGUGGUGUAGGUCAGCAACUGCAGCUCUGAUGUGACCCCAAGCCUGAACUUUCAUAUGCCACAGGUGCAGCCCUAAAAAGAACAAAAUGUAUAAUGGCACAUAUAGCCAGGGUUGGGAGGAGACAUGAUGAAAUAAUGCCCACUGCCUGGGUGCAGUCAGCCCUCAUCAUGGUUGUGAACAGCACUCAUUCCAUCUUUCCUGGAUGAUGAGGGGUGGCUUGCAGCUGACCAUGUCAGACUCUCCUAAAAUCCACCUGCAGACAUUUUACAGAAUAUGGCUUGAAAGGCCCACCUCCCAAGGAGUUUUGUUAGGCCUGGAGCAGGGCCUAGGAGUUUGCAGGGUUUGUUUGUUUGUUUAUUUAUUUUGUCUUUUUGCCUUUUCUAGGGCCACACCCGCAGCAUAAGGAGGUUCCCAGGCUAGGGGUUUAAUCAGAGCUGUAGCCGUUGGCCUACGCCAGAGCCACAGCAACUCAGGAUCAGAGCUGUGUCUGCGAUCUAUACCACAGCUCAUGGCAACGCCGGAUCCUUAACCCACUGAGCAAGGCCAGGGAUUGAACCCGCGACCUCAUGGUUCCUAUUUGGAUUCCUUAACCACUGAGCCACGGCGGGAACUCCUUGUGGGGGUUUUUUAAGUUUUUUCCUUUUAUUAAAGUAUGGUUGAUUGACCAUGUUGUAUUAAUUUCUGCUGUACAGCAAAUUCAUUCAGUCAUACGGCUAUACAGUCUUUCCUUAAAAUAUUCUUUUCCAUUGUUGAUCACAGGCCAUUGGAUAGAGUUCCUGUGAUCUACAGUAGGAGCUUGUUGUUUAUCCUCUAGGUAUCACAGCUUACAUCUGCUAAACCCUGCCUCCCAAUGCAUCUCUCUCCCAAUGCCCCUACACUUGGCAACCACAAGUCUGUUCGCCAUGUCUGUGAGUCUGUUUCUGUUCUGCAGAUAGGUUCGUUUGUGUCAUAUUUUAGAUUCCACAUAUAAGUGAUAUCACACGGUAUUUGUCUUCCUCUCUCUGACUGACUUCACUUAGUAUGAUGUCUCUGGUUGAUGCAAAUGGCAUUAUUUCAUUUGUUUGUUUGUUUGCUUUUUAGGGCUGUACUUGCGGCAUAUGGAAGCUCCCAGGCUAGGGGUUGAAUCGGAGCUACAGCUGCCAGCCUACACCACAGCUCAUGACAACACUGGAACCUGUAACUCUCUGAGCAGGACCAGGGAUCUGAACCUGCAUUCUCAUGGAUACUAGUUGGGUUCAUCACUGCUGAGCCACAUUGGGAACUCCAGGAGUCUGUAUUUUUAAAAGCUUCCUCAGUUGAUGCCAAUGUGUAGCCAGGUUUGAGAACCAGACAGUCCAACUCUGAGAUUUUAUACCCGAUUCUUUAACUUUGCUCUCUGCCCUUUUAUUUUCAUGCCAGAAAUCCCAGCCUCCAUCCCCUCUAGCCAUUAAUAAGCAUUUAUGACUCUCUGCUGUCCUCCCUCCUUCCAGCCCUGAACAAUUGCUCUUCUCUUAGCAUUUGGCAUUCACCUGCAGGCGUGGGGUGGGUUUCCAAGGUCAGAGAUGGGCAGAGAAUGUUCCCCUUCUACAGCAGUGCUGGCCUGCACGCUGGAUUCAGGAUGCUCUGCAUUACUGAGCCGUUCAGCAGAGAUCUGAUUUAAUGCAGCCCUUGGCUCUGUGUGCACGGCCGAGGGAUACUCAGGAGGAGCACUCAGUGGAAUACUCCAGGGAAGAGCAAAGCUGAGUGCUGGGGAGGGGUGUGAGCAGGGCUGGGCUAUAGCCGAAACCAGCCUCCAUACAUCGGCACCAGUGCAGUCUCAGAGACACAGACUCUGGGAUGAAGCAGAAAGAACAGCUUUAUUGCUCUGCCAGGCAACGGAGGCCACAGCAGGAUAAUGCCUCAAAGCUGUGUCCUCCCCCGAGAGGGGAUAGCAAGACGUUUUUUAUAGAUUUAGCGUGAAAAAACAGGGCUGUUGAUGAGAUUAGGGUCCUGCAUUCUUCUCCCUCCAUAGAUCAUGUCAAAGUCAUCGAGGCCAGAGUCAGGGGGUCGGGUGACAGUUUCUGGUGGUCUUUGGGGUUAUUGCACCUUGACCUUCUCUCUGCAGUGAAGGUUACUCACAAAAGGAAGGGAGUGUGGGGAGUGUUUCAAAGGAAAAGAAAACACCAGGUGCCAUUAACUUUAACCAGAAAGUAACCAUUAGUAAAAGAGAGCAAGGAAGCAAGGAAGAAAUCAUUUGUGAAAAGCCAGGUAGAGGUGGUGAGUGAGCCACGGCAGGAGGUAACAUCAUGGAGACGGUUUUAACUGGUUUUGAGCUGUAACAAUAUUUCCUCAUCAUUCACUCUCCAGUCAGCCUUUUGAGACCGAAGGGAGGCCUGGGAGGCUAAAGGAAAAGCCUCUUCCUUCAAAACACAAGGACUUAAGAGCUUAUACACUGUUUCCGGUACAGAGACUGGCUGCUGCUGCCUCCAUUGAUAAAUCAGCCUCUAGCAGCAGGAGCUCUGUUUUCAAGGAGCUCCGUUCUUGCACGCAGUUAUUUAGAUGCCUUGCCCAGGGCUCCCCCCAUCCCCAGC